GAAUCCGAUCAGCAUUCGGAUCGGAUUCGAUCGAGGUAUAAAAGCAAUAUCCGGUGCCUGGAUUAGUAUCAUUGCAUUAGCAGUUACGAUUUAGAGCGUUUUGUACGAGUUAGAGUGAUUUAAUUCAAUUGUGGAAAAAUGGCCGCCAAGUUCAUUGUUCUGUUCGUCGUAGCCCUGUUCGCCUCGGCUACGCUGUCAGCUCCUGCGCCGAUUCCAGAUCCAAAGGCACAACUUCUGGCCGCCGCCCCGUUGGCAUACUCCGUAGGUGCACUUCCCUAUGCAUACUCGAGCUAUGCGUCACCGUAUACGAGCUAUGUGUCACCCUAUGCGGCAGCCUACAGCUAUCCCGGAUUAGCCUAUAGCUAUUCGUAUCCUUACGCUGCUUUUCUUUAAGUUUGGAAGCCUUGGGACGGGAUUAGCUAUAAUUAGGAAAUAAAGCCUGGAAGUAUUUUUUAAUGUUAUUCAAACUGCAAUAAACUACGUACAAAUUU
Molecule: long non-coding RNA, 491 nt
Organism: Armigeres subalbatus
Lineage: Eukaryota; Metazoa; Arthropoda; Insecta; Diptera; Culicidae
Exons: 3
Source: RefSeq, a predicted model, not a curated record